CGUCGAAUUCCGACGUACGGUCCUAAAGUUACGCCAAGAACGGAUAAUUACGACUUUAAGCAUUUGAUCGCGCGUACACAUGCAGGUGCGAUCAUACCAGCACUAAUGCACCGGAUCCCAUCAGAACUCCGCAGUCAAGCGUGCUUGGGAGAGAGUAGUAAUAGGAUGGGUGACCUCCUGGGAAGUCCUCGUGUUGCACCUCU
Molecule: small RNA, 203 nt
Filed under: Lupinus albus (white lupine)
Lineage: Eukaryota; Viridiplantae; Streptophyta; Magnoliopsida; Fabales; Fabaceae
Source: RNAcentral